Molecule: long non-coding RNA, 1067 nt
Organism: Mastomys coucha (southern multimammate mouse)
Lineage: Eukaryota; Metazoa; Chordata; Mammalia; Rodentia; Muridae
Exons: 2
Source: RefSeq, a predicted model, not a curated record
GCCUCCGAAAGGGCGAUAAGAAGUUUUCUGCUUUCUGAGGGUCUUGGGGGACUGUCUGAUUUGUUAGUAGGCCACCAACAGACCCUUGGAGUGGCCGAGGCCCUGGCAGUCUUGUCCCGGACGUGGAUAAGAGGCCUGACAGGUUCCAUUCUGGGCUUGCAGUGUUUCCAUGAGCCAGGAGGCCUCAGGGAUCUGUGACUGCUUGUGGGGUCGCAGGCGGCCACAUCCUGGUGGUCUGCCCUUCUGCUUUUGAACUGUCUGUGUGGCCUGUGCCUGGUUGUCUGGAGUGUGCUCUCUGCUUUUAUGGAUUUGACAACUGGAUGCGAGAAUCGAACCAAAGCUCACUGUGUCCAGCUGGUUGGCAGAGUGCUUCCCCAGCACAGAGAAACUGGCUUUAUUGGUAUACACCUGGGAUUCAAACAGUCAGGAGCUGGAGGCAAAGGACCAGAAGCUCAGGUAUAGGGAGUUCAGGGUCAGCCUAGGGCACGUGAGAUCCUGCCAAAAGCAAAAACCAAACUCAAUGUGUUGAACUAUAUUCAACUGAAGAUUGGAUAGUGCAGUAGAUGACAGAGAUGUUAAGAACAGGUAAUGAAGCCUGGCGGUGGUGGCGCACGCCUUUAAUCCCAGCACUUGGGAGGCAGAGCCAGGCAGAUUUCUGAGUUCGAGGCCAGCCUGGUCUACAGAGUGAGUUCCAGGACGGCCAGGGCUACACAGAGAAAUCCUGUCUUGAAACAAAACAAAACAAAACAAACAAACAAAAAAGAACAGGUAAUGAAGGAUUGGGCUCUUGUCUCAAUUGUUAAGCUAUGAUGGUAUUCUUAAAAAUACCCAACUUCUGUAAAGUGCCCUAAUUAUGAAAAUUUCUUAUAAACAGUGAAGUAAUCCUGGUUUUGCUGUGAUAAUUGACUAUAGAUUUGUUGAAAUUUGUAUCAAAGUAUAGAAAAACUGCCAAUGAACUUCAAUGAAAAUUUUUGUGUACUAUUACAAUAGAAUGCUGUUAAUUCACAUUGCUUACAUUAAAGAAUAUUUUCAACUUUAAAUCUUUUAAAUAAAUGAUUCUGAAGUCC